UACGUAGGGGGCAAGCGUUGUCCGGAUUUAUUGGGCGUAAAGAGCGUGUAGGCGGCUGGGUAGGUCCGUUGUGAAAACUCGAGGCUCAACCUCGAGACGCCGAUGGAAACCCUCCAGCUAGAGUCCGGAAGAGGAGAGUGGAAUUCCUGGUGUAGCGGUGAAAUGCGCAGAUAUCAGGAAGAACACCCGUGGCUAAGGCGGCUCUCUGGGACGGUACUGACGCUGAGACGCGAAAGCGUGGGGAGCGAACAGG
Molecule: ribosomal RNA, 253 nt
Filed under: uncultured bacterium
Lineage: Bacteria
Description: partial 16S ribosomal RNA
Rfam family: Bacterial small subunit ribosomal RNA
Source: RNAcentral